GUCUCAGAGAGAGAGGGGCUUCAAGUGUGUGUGUGAGAGAGAUGAAGCAAAGGAAAAUAAAAGGGAUAGGUCAAUAAUAUACAGAAGCAAAUCUGUGUCAAAAUCAGAAAUAAGAAAGUGUGAAAAGUUUAAUACUGCCAAAAAUGAGAAAUAGCCAGAUUAUUAGAAAAUCUGGAAGUAAAGUUUGUACGUGAAGUGCAAAUAUUACUCAAAUAUAUAUUAGAACUUAGAAAACAAAAACUUACAAAAAUUGGGUAGAGAAAUGCACGUAAAAAAAAUAAAAUGAGCCCAGAGAAGAAGCGAACAUCAGGUAUAAAAGUAAUAUGCAGCAACAAGGAAGCAAACAUUUGAGAAAUCUAACAAUGUGGAAAGGUGGGAAUAUGUCAGAACCUCAAGGAGAAAUUUGUUUUUGGAAAGGCACAAUCUCUUUUUGAAGCAGGAGAACAGGAAAACAUGGUAAGUGAGGUAAAUUAUAUUUUAAGAGUGGUGAGACUCUUAAAGAUAAGUGAGGUAAAUUAUAUUUUAAGAGUGGUGAGACUGAGGAAGGUUAUGCCAGAUGACCUCCAUCCUCAAUAAAUUAUGUAGGAUACUUCUCUAUUGAAAGAGAAAAAUGAGACUGAAAAUGACGUUGAAAUAAAGGGUUGGGAAAAAAUAGACAAAUUUAAAAUACUUCUACAGAGACAGAAUCAAUAUGAGAUAAAUAAAAGAAUUGCUGGCUAGAGGUUAAGAGUUAGGAGACUCAAUAUCAUGUUAUUAUACUGGGUACCUGUUACAUGUUUCCACGAACAUUUCCAGUAGUAUCAGGCUGAAUGAGAACAAGAAAAGCAUGAAGACUCAGGCAGGAAACUGGCUUGGAGAGCACUAUUUUUUUUUUUUUGUUUACUUGUGUAAAUUUAAUUAUCUAAAUCUGUACUCUAUUGGCACUUCCUUUUAGAUGUUUGCUUUCAAUGGUUGGUUACCCUCCUAUCUCUCUAGUUUCUUGGAUGAUGAAUGGAAAACAAACAAAAAAUGUAGUGUGAUAAUGUGUCUACGUUUUGUUUAAGUCUGUAAAGGUCUUGCUAUGCUUUGCAUGUAGAAAGAGAGAAGACUGCUUUCACCCUAACAAUGAGAAAGAGACAAAUAAUCUGCAAAAUUAUAACUUUACUUGAGCCCAUCAGAAAUAGGAGGUACCAAGGCAACCAAAUAAACUGAACUGGAAAGUGUGACAAGUCACUGCUAAGAGAAAUGAGACAGGAACUUUUCACCUUUGGAGGAUCAUGGGAAAAAGUUAGUUGUUAUACAAGAAAAUGAGAAAAAGGAAGGUGGCCAAAAAUUAACUAAUUUUUAAAAGCCAAGAGUGGGGCAGUAUGACAACUUGGAAAAAGGGGGAGCGAAACUCAACAUGAAUUUACAGCCUUCCAAAAGGGGCUCACAGGAAGAAUUGAAGCAAGGCAAAACAAAACAAAGAAAGCUCUUCUCCAUGAUACAGGGUGCAGGAGGUGAUUGGCUGCUGUGAGAGAAGGACACAAAGCCACGCCCACUUCCCUCAUAACUUUCUCAUUGGAGCAAAAACUUUAGGCUACUGGUGAAGGGCAGCUAACUCUCCAGCUCCCAGGGCCAGUGAAAACUCCAUUGCUUUUGUGAGAUAGGAGUGAGGGGAAGGAAUACACACCUCUUUGUGGGGAAAGAUAAGAACACUCUCACUAACAGCAUGUACAAAGAAAAGUUGGAAUUGUAACAGGACCUUCCGGAUGUGAAACAUGCUAGGUCACCAUGUUAUGGUGGUAGAUUGUCCUGGGAGGCAGAGUUGGCUUCUUGAUUCCACCUCUGCUGCAUGCCAACAAGGUGACAUUGGAUAGGGGCCUCAGUUCACUGGUCUAUAAAAAAAAAAA
RNAcentral lists this long non-coding RNA (1871 nucleotides) under Homo sapiens (human). RNAcentral's name for it is "HSALNT0092485". The record is from RNAcentral. Lineage: Eukaryota; Metazoa; Chordata; Mammalia; Primates; Hominidae.